RNAcentral lists this ribosomal RNA (1098 nucleotides) under uncultured ammonia-oxidizing bacterium. Its description in RNAcentral is "bacterial SSU rRNA". It matches the Rfam family "Bacterial small subunit ribosomal RNA", at positions 131 to 1225 of the family's 1533-position model. The record is from RNAcentral.
CUUAAGUGGGGAAUAACGCAUCGAAAGGUGUGCUAAUACCGCAUAAUCUCUGAGGAGAAAAGCAGGGGAUCGCAAGACCUUGCGCUUUUGGAGCGGCCGAUGUCUGAUUAGCUUGUUGGUAAGGUAAAAGCUUACCAAGGCUUCGAUCAGUAGCUGGUCUGAGAGGACGACCAGCCACACUGGGACUGAGACACGGCCCAGACUCCUACGGGAGGCAGCAGUGGGGAAUUUUGGACAAUGGGGGCAACCCUGAUCCAGCCAUGCCGCGUGAGUGAAGAAGGCCUUCGGGUUGUAAAGCUCCUUCAGCCGGAACGAAACGGUUACGGUUAAUACCCGUGACUACUGACGGUACCGGAAGAAGAAGCACCGGCUAACUACGUGCCAGCAGCCGCGGUAAUACGUAGGGUGCGAGCGUUAAUCGGAAUUACUGGGCGUAAAGCGUGCGCAGGUGGUUUUGUAAGUCAGAUGUGAAAUCCCCGGGCUCAACCUGGGAACUGCGUUUGAAACUACAAGGCUAGAGUGUGGCAGAGGGGGGUGGAAUUCCGCGUGUAGCAGUGAAAUGCGUAGAGAUGUGGAGGAACACCGAUGGCGAAGGCAGCCCCCUGGGUCAACACUGACGCUCAGGCACGAAAGCAUGGGGAGCAAACAGGAUUAGAUACCCUGGUAGUCCAUGCCCUAAACGAUGUCAACUAGUUGUCGGGCCUUAACGGGCUUGGUAACGUAGCUAACGCGUGAAGUUGACCGCCUGGGGAGUACGAUCGCAAGAUUAAAACUCAAAGGAAUUGACGGGGACCCGCACAAGCGGUGGAUUAUGUGGAUUAAUUCGAUGCAACGCGAAAAACCUUACCUACCCUUGACAUGUAUCGAAGCCCGCAGAAAAGCGGGGGUGCCCGAAAGGGAACGAUAACACAGGUGCUGCAUGGCUGUCGUCAGCUCGUGUCGUGAGAUGUUGGGUUAAGUCCCGCAACGAGCGCAACCCUUGUCAUUAAUUGCCAUCAUUUAGUUGGGCACUUUAAUGAGACUGCCGGUGACAAACCGGAGGAAGGUGGGGAUGACGUCAAGUCCUCAUGGCCCUUAUGGGUAGGGCUUCACACGUAA